UGAAACAUUGCUCCUGAAAUCUUCGCGCGCGAGGGGUGAGUAAUGCCUAGGAAUCUGCCUGGUAUGGGGGACAACAUUUCGAAAGGAACGCUAAUACCACAUACGUCCUACGGUUUUCUCUGGGGGAUCUUCUGACCUCACGCUUUCCCAUUAGCCUAAGUCGGAUUACCCAGUUGGUGAGGUAAAGGCUCACCUGGCGACCAUCCGUAAGUGGUCUGACAGGAUGAUCAUUCACACUGGAACUGACACACUGUCCAGACUCCUACGGGAGGCCUCAGUGGGGAAUAUUGGACAAUGGGCCAAACCCUGAUCCAGCCAUGCCGCGUGUGUGACGACGGUCUUCUGAUUGUAGUUCACUUUUCGUUGGGAUGAAGGGCAGUAAAAUAAUACCUUGCUGUUUUGACGUUUCCAACAUAAUAAUCACCGGCUAAAUUCCUGCCAACAUCCGCGGUAAUACCAACGGUGCAAGCGUUAAGCGGAAUUACUGGGCGUAAAGUGCGCGUAGGUGGUUCCUUAAGUUGGAUGUUAAAGCUCCGGUCUCAACCUGCGAACUGCAUCCGAAAAUGGCUAGCUAAAUUAUGGCAUAGGGUGUUGAAAAUACCAGUGUAGCGCUGAAAUGCGUAGAGAUAUGAGCGAACACCUGUGGCGAAACCGACGUCCUGGGCUACUAUUGACGCUGUGGUGUGACGCAUGGGCAGCAAACCGGAUAAAUACCCUGGUAGACAACCCCGUAUACGAUGUCGACUACCCGGUGGGAUCCUUGUGAUCGUGUGGCGCACCUUAAGGCUUUACUCAACCGCCUGGCGCUACCGCCGCGAGAUUAAACUCAAAUGAAUUGACUGCAGCCUCUCAGCGG
Molecule: ribosomal RNA, 856 nt
Filed under: Bdellovibrio sp.
Lineage: Bacteria; Pseudomonadati; Bdellovibrionota; Bdellovibrionia; Bdellovibrionales; Pseudobdellovibrionaceae
Description: bacterial SSU rRNA
Rfam family: Bacterial small subunit ribosomal RNA
Source: RNAcentral